UUGGUUGAGCAAAGAGGCUCAUUAGCCCAAACUACACAAGGCACUUGCAAGGGAGAAAGGCUCCCUUCAAAAAGCAACUCUACCAGUCCUUAGGAAGCAGCAAACUAUGCAGUCCCAAAAUCCAGAAUUAAAAAGCGCUUAGAAAGCACAGUACAACAUAUGCUUUAGAAGGCACAUUUAUGAAGAUUGUUGAUGUUGGGAUCUGUGAGCUUAUAGACUUCAAAUGUAGCACUUAGGCCAGCUGCUCAAAUGGUGAAUCAAAGAACAGAACCAUGCAUUGUUUGUAGAAAAGGAUUGCCAACCAUAUCAGUCAUCAUACGAGGAGUGAGGAGCAGCAGUACAUCCAGGGUCAAAAGGAUCUUCAGAUCCACAGCAAUGCCAGUAUUGAAAAACUCUGCCAGAGUCAGGAGUAUCCAUAGUGCCUCCAGAGUAAACACUCUCAAACUUCCUCUUUGUUUCACCUCCAAAAUGGGCAAUAUGGAAGCGACAAGCGCGAGGGUGAUUGAGAGAAGGGUCAAAUUGGGUUUUGCAGUUCUUGCAUGUUCUGAGGGUUUUGCCGCCAUUGGAAUUUAUUACUGAGCACCGAAUCACAGGCAAUCUUAGAGAUUCUGCGGUCGGAAUCAAUGCUGGUCUCUGGUGGAGGAAUUGAGGACAAAACGAUGCGUUCCGAUUGAAAGUAGAUAAGCGAGUGAGCGCACGGUCGGAGAUGGUGAAGGCCAUAUCCCCUCCUUGCACUAUGGGAGAAAAUUAG
This 751-nucleotide unclassified non-coding RNA is filed under the name Hevea brasiliensis (rubber tree). The record is from RNAcentral. Lineage: Eukaryota; Viridiplantae; Streptophyta; Magnoliopsida; Malpighiales; Euphorbiaceae.